GUGCUCAUUUUGGCAGCACAUAUACUAAAAUUGGAAUAAAAAGAUUAGCAUGGCCCCUGCGCAAGGAUGAUACGCAAAUUCGUGAAGCCUUCCGUAUUUUU
Molecule: small nuclear RNA, 101 nt
Filed under: Saimiri boliviensis boliviensis (Bolivian squirrel monkey)
Lineage: Eukaryota; Metazoa; Chordata; Mammalia; Primates; Cebidae
Source: RNAcentral